RNAcentral lists this ribosomal RNA (74 nucleotides) under Alkaliphilus flagellatus. RNAcentral's name for it is "partial 16S ribosomal RNA". It matches the Rfam family "Bacterial small subunit ribosomal RNA", at positions 1 to 74 of the family's 1533-position model. The record is from RNAcentral. Lineage: Bacteria; Bacillati; Bacillota; Clostridia; Peptostreptococcales; Natronincolaceae.
UUAUUUAAGAGUUUGAUCCUGGCUCAGGAUGAACGCUGGCGGCGUGCCUAACACAUGCAAGUCGAGCGGAGUUA